AUGUCCACCAAAGUUUCACUGGCAAGAAGAGAAGGGGAACACGUUAACCACAGCAUAGGAAAUCCCGAGGAAGUGUACAGACACUGCGAAGCAGGUGAUGAAAGGAGACCGACUCCUGAGCGUUACACGCCGACUUUUUGGUGGAGCAAAGCAGGGGCCUGUAGAAUAUGUGGAGAGUGGAGUGGGGCGCCACAGAGGAACGUGAGAUGUUACAACGCACGUGAGACACAGCACCAUCCAGGUCAGGUGACUCUCCCUGUUCCAGUUUACACAGACCUUGCUGAGCUAAUCAUUGGAUCAGUGUGGUACUUUCUUUUCAGCAAGCACCUACAACAGACCCUGCAAAGAACCUUUUUGCAGUUUUGACUAUUCAGAAAUAGUCUUCUCCAAAGAUUGACAAUGAUUAGGAAGUGGCUGAGGCACAAGUUGGAAUCAUGGCACUGUAUCACUGGCACGCAGAGGCAGUCACUCUGCUGAUCCGUGACCCUGUCCAACAUCUGGCGUAUCAGCGUAACCUCCUGGCCAGUAAGCAGUCACCUUUAGCCAGUAUUCAGAAGGAGAGAAAUGAGAAACAACUGCCAUUAUGCAACUGGCCACUUUCUGGCCUUCAGUCCCACGGCUCAAGCUGUCGGGAAAAUGACCUUCCCCAGUGUUUCGCUCAUGUGACACAGGUAGUAUAUGCUUCAUUCAGCACUCUUGUGGAGAGGGUGCCCAACAGCGUUCAAAAGGGUCUUCUCCCCUGCUCUCCGGACUGCUUCUAUGUCACAAAGUAAGCAUUUGAGGGCACAUCAAGCAGAUGACUGGGAAAUGUUACAGAGAUGAGAUAAACAGGUACAUUUUAAAAUAAUUCAGUGAUCUGUAUUUUUUUUUUUUUUUAACAAAUAAGGACACCGGAAGUAUUUUGUUUUGUUUUGUUUUAAGACAGUAUCUUGCUGUGAGGCUCAGGCUGGCUUUUAACUCACUACAUAGUGUAGUCUGGCCUCAAACUCACAGCAGUUCUCCUGUCUCGGCCUCUCGAGUGCUGUCGCCUGGCUUACCAGAAGCUUUUGAAGAAAUCCUUACUCUACUUUUUUCCUUCUUCUUUUACACAGGCAUAAAUGAGCACUGAAUAUUUUAAGAAUGUGAAAUAUAGCAAAUAAUAUUUUCUUAGACUCUAUAAUAUGUUGGGAGUUGUAAGGAAUUAGGAUUAGAUGUGGCUCUAACUUUCAAGGAACCCAUGAUGAAGACGCCUGAUGAGCCAGCGUGCUGCUUAGCCUACCUAAAACAGUGGCAGAAACAGGGUACAACACUGACUUAAAACACAAGUGGUCUAGAUGGUAUCCUUCUAGAGAAAUAAUUUCAUAACAAUACAGAGCAGUCUCUGGACACUUGAGGACAGUGAAAAAGGUUUACUCUUUUUAUUCUUCCUAAAGUGUCAGCAGAUUUCAAUGAUUAAGCAACUGUAUAAAAAUAAAGAGUCCUCUGUAUGAGUGUGUCUUAAAUCCAGUGAGUACUUCUUUAUCUGCCAGAUGAAGGUCUGAGGAAAGUAUCUGGGGGAGAAGAAAAAAGAAAGAAGCCCCUAAAAUGACAGCGAACAAACCAGAAAGCGUAAGAUAACAAUAAGCUCAUAAAGAAGGACAAGAGUGUAGAAACUCCUCUCCCUGCCUUCCUGUUUUUCCAUAUUCUUGGCACCAGUGAGGGAGGUCAGGGCAUCGCCUUGACUGACAUGUAGGAAAAAGACAAAAGCAUUUCAAUUACUGUUCAGCAGGGAGAACUAAU
RNAcentral lists this long non-coding RNA (1758 nucleotides) under Cavia porcellus (domestic guinea pig). Its description in RNAcentral is "lncRNA (ENSCPOG00000032427.1)". Lineage: Eukaryota; Metazoa; Chordata; Mammalia; Rodentia; Caviidae. The record is from RNAcentral.